Molecule: long non-coding RNA, 2202 nt
Filed under: Salmo salar (Atlantic salmon)
Lineage: Eukaryota; Metazoa; Chordata; Actinopteri; Salmoniformes; Salmonidae
Description: lncRNA (ENSSSAG00000100543.1)
Rfam family: Histone 3' UTR stem-loop (bases 1446-1491)
Source: RNAcentral
GCCGCAGAGAGAGGCUCGCUUGUUGGCAGCACGGUUUGAUUGUGGGUCAAAAAUCCAGCAGAGCAAGUUUGUAGUAAGGUCUAGUUACAUUUACAUUUUAGUCAUUUAGCAGACACUCUUAUCCAGAGCGACUUACAUUAGUGAGUGCAUACAUUUCAUUAAAAAAAAUUGUACUGGCCCCCUGUGGGAAUCAAACCCACAACCCUGGCGUUGCACACACCAUGCUGGCAUUGCAAACACCAUGCUCUAACAACUGAGCCACAGGGAAGACCAGUUAUUCAAUUGCUAAAUAGUAAUAUACUCUAAAACGCUCUGGUGACAAACAAACUUCACUGCCCUGUUUCCAAUCGUCCACAUGGCUGGGAGAACCUAUUCAAGAAGGUAAAUAUAUUUCGAAAAUGUAAAAAAAAAAAUGUAAAAAAUGUAUUAUUAGCUAACUAGCUACAGUGCUGGCGAACUCAAAUGAGCUGCUAACAUGGCUAGCUAGCUAUCUAGCCAACUUUACAUACUGUAUAGAUAGCUAGCUAAGUGAAUUAAAUAUCACCACCUACCUAACUUCAUAUUCGCUAGCUAUCUUGAUGUAUUUAUCACUGUAAAAACAACUCUAAAUGCAUUUGUAGGUAGCUAGCUAACAGCUAUGGAGGACAGUGACAGGAUAGCAGCCCCAACUGUCAAAGUGAGAGAGUAGGCUAUUCUGGAUAGAGCAAGUACUUUUGUCUAGUUCCUGUCCCUGGAAGUGAGGACAGAGAUAAUAGAAAUGAGGACAGAGAUAAUAGUAACAUAAUAUUUAGUGCAGUCUCAUUUGACUAUAAUGAAGUCUGUAUCUUGUGAGGUUUUCUGUCCUCAGAUACAGAGAGCUGUAAAAGCCGGUCAAGCAGAUGAAGAGGUCCCAAUGAAGAGUAGUGGCUCUCAGUCCUGGAUUCAUUUGUGAUGCUGUCCUUGAUAUGAUCUUGCUAUUGUCACAUGCACAUGUGUGUGUACAUGCAUCUAUCCAAUGUUACCAUUAUUUGUUAUCAGGGAUAUUAUACUUUAGUAAUCCGCAAUGACCUGGUGAUGUAACAGUCAAAUAAUGACAUUAUCUUCCAUAUUCCUACAGAUACCUUGUAACUGGUGAUUCCUUCAAAACGAUUUCCUACAGUUACGUGUAGGGCACUGCAAGGUUGGGUGACCAGGGCCAUCUGGGACUGCCUCCUGGAGGAAUUCAGGUGUGUGUGAAGGCUACCUGUGUCCUGCAUAACUUCAUGAGGAUGGACACAAGGACCAGGAGGGGAUCUGCAGCUCGCCGCCGCGUGCCAGAGUAGAAGUCUGCUGCUCUGCAGGAUGUUUCAAGGAUGGGGUCCAACAACGUAGCAAGAGAGGCAAUCCGUGUGCAAGAGAUCUUCACCUCCUACUUCUUCGAAGAGGGUGCUGUUCCCUGGCAACACCAUAGACUACACUAUGCACAACCAAAGGCUCUUUUAAGAGCUAUUCACAUUGCAAUAAGAGUAUUCUUCCAUUUACUGAGCUAUGUCAACUGCAGUUAUUCAAUUCUCAGUUUCUCUCCCUUUGAUUUCUACUUCUCAUGUGAGGGUGCUAUUUAGGUAAGGGUGUGAUGUCUACAAAAGCAAAACAGGCUAUUUUAAAUCACCCAUAUUGAAACAAUUUGGAACAAUUAGACACCCUAUAACCCACACGUACACUCAUGUAUCAAUCUGAUUGAUGGAUUGUGUUGUGCAGUAAGCAGGUUCAGGUGUAUAACUGUGGCUCCUUCCACCUUCAAAUAAUAGGCAAGAGGGACAACCGUGGAGAAUAGUAAGACACUUCAUUAUUUCUAUAACUACGCUAUAUUGUUUGUCCUCGUGUGUCUGUGCAUGUUUUUCCAGCAUAAAGUACUCUGCAGCCACUUAGUGUGGUGUGGACACCAGGUUAUAUCAGCUGUGGUUCGUGAACCCCUACUGCAUCUGAACUGGCUGACAGAGAGGGCACAGCAUGAUCAGAGGUAUGAUUUGAUGUGAGGAUGCCAACCCCCAGUCCCGUCAUCGCCACCUCACCCGCUCUUAAGACAACCUUCGGUCCGACGAGAGACACUAUUAUGUAAUUGUGAUGAACUGAGAGAAUAUUUGGGUAGCACUGUGAUUCAUUAAUCAUAUGCUGCCUUCCCUGCUCCUAUGUUCUUACCUCUUUCCCUUUGUUUUUUACACCUCUCUCACCACCUCCUCUUUC